UGGGGGAUAUUGCACAAUGGGGGGAAACCCUGAUGCAGCGACGCCGCGUGGGCGAAGAAGUAUUUCGGUAUGUAAAGCCCUAUCAGCAGGGAAGAAGAAAUGACGGUACCUGAGUAAGAAGCACCGGCUAAAUACGUGCC
This 140-nucleotide ribosomal RNA is filed under the name uncultured bacterium. RNAcentral describes it as "partial 16S ribosomal RNA". It matches the Rfam family "Bacterial small subunit ribosomal RNA", at positions 355 to 509 of the family's 1533-position model. The record is from RNAcentral.